UAGGGAAUCUUCCGCAAUGGACGAAAGUCUGACGGAGCAACGCCGCGUGAGUGAUGAAGGUUUUCGGAUCGUAAAGCUCUGUUGUUAGGGAAGAACAAGUGCCGUUCAAAUAGGGCGGCACCUUGACGGUACCUAACCAGAAAGCCACGGCUAACUACGUGCCAGCAGCCGCGGUAAUACGUAGGUGGCAAGCGUUGUCCGGAAUUAUUGGGCGUAAAGGGCUCGCAGGCGGUUUCUUAAGUCUGAUGUGAAAGCCCCCGGCUCAACCGGGGAGGGUCAUUGGAAACUGGGGAACUUGAGUGCAGAAGAGGAGAGUGGAAUUCCACGUGUAGCGGUGAAAUGCGUAGAGAUGUGGAGGAACACCAGUGUCGAAGGCGACUCUCUGGUCUGUAACUGACGCUGAGGAGCGAAAGCGUGGGGAGCGAACA
This 428-nucleotide ribosomal RNA is filed under the name uncultured bacterium. RNAcentral's name for it is "partial 16S ribosomal RNA". It matches the Rfam family "Bacterial small subunit ribosomal RNA", at positions 355 to 774 of the family's 1533-position model. The record is from RNAcentral.